GGGAGGUAGUGACAAUAAAUAACAAUACAGGGUUCUUUUGGAUCUUGUAAUUGGAAUGAGUACAAUUUAAAUCUCUUAACGAGGAACAAUUGGAGGGCAAGUCUGGUGCCAGCAGCCGCGGUAAUUCCAGCUCCAAUAGCGUAUAUUAAAGUUGUUGCAGUUAAAAAGCUCGUAGUUGAAUUUCGGGAUCAAUGUUUCGGUCAUGCCGUUGGUAUGUACUGAUACUAUUGAUUUCUCACCUUCUAAAGAACCGUAAUGCCAUUAAUUUGGUGUCACGGGGAAUUAGGACUGUUACCUUGAAAAAAUUAGAGUGUUUAAAGCAGGCUCACGCUUGAAUACAUUAGCAUGGAAUAAUGAAAUAGGACAUCCGAUUCUAUUUUGUUGGUUUCUAGGAUCGAUGUAAUGAUUAAUAGGGAUAGUUGGG
RNAcentral lists this ribosomal RNA (424 nucleotides) under uncultured Glomeraceae. RNAcentral describes it as "SSU rRNA". It matches the Rfam family "Eukaryotic small subunit ribosomal RNA", at positions 459 to 886 of the family's 1831-position model. The record is from RNAcentral. Lineage: Eukaryota; Fungi; Glomeromycota; Glomeromycetes; Glomerales; Glomeraceae.